Molecule: long non-coding RNA, 888 nt
Filed under: Homo sapiens (human)
Lineage: Eukaryota; Metazoa; Chordata; Mammalia; Primates; Hominidae
Description: HSALNT0325223
Source: RNAcentral
AGCGAUUCUCCUGCCUCAGCCUCCUGACUAGCUGGAACUACAGGCUCUUCCAGAAUCUUGCCACUCUUCCAUCAAGAAACACAGUCUGUUUCCCACCCCAUCCCCUGAAACUGAGCAUUAUUUUGCCGCUGCAUUGACUGAUGGAAUGCAUCCCGACUUUUGCGCCUGGCUUUUUGCCUUGGGAUAUGGGUUUUGGGAGCUUUGAGAUAAUAUGUAAGAAGUUUGGCUGCCCUGAAGCAUCCCUGCUGGAGAGACCUGGUGGAGCGAGCUCAGAGGACGCCUGAGGAGCCACAGCUGUCCCUGUACCAGCUACUUGAGUCUUCCCAGCCCAAGUGCCAGACAGCUAAGUGAUUGAGCCUUUAAGUGAGUCCAGCUUUCAGCCCCGUGCCUCCGCAGCUGACUCUGAGUGCAGCACAGCUGAGUUGUCCCAGUGGAGUACAAUCCAGGUUACAAAGUCUUGAACAAAAGGUUCCUUUGGUCUUGAGAUAAAGGUCAGGUUUCUGUGAACCGACUGGCCGCAGCCUUUCUUCUCCUGCCGUCUGAGGUGGAGGUGAGCUGAGGCGCCUGGAGUGUUCUAUUUGGUAGAGCAGAAGGCCCUUGAGAGAGAAACAGUCUGUCCUGCUGCUACCUCCGUAUGUAUCCUCAGAACCUGGCACAGCACCUGGCCUCAGUGGACACCCAUAGAAGUCUUGGCUGAUGAGAAAGGAAGGCAAUGGCUGUGACUGAGAUCGUGAGGGAUGACGAGCGUGAAAGAUGAAUGCCUCCCCAGGGAAUCUGCAGUCAUCAGCUCUAAGGAAGCUUCUUUGGGAUAUGUCACGUAAGAGGUUGUAUCAUGGCAAGAGGGGAAAAUAUCUCAACAGCAGUUUCAUGCAGUUCCCCUUAAAUCCU